This 1054-nucleotide long non-coding RNA is filed under the name Struthio camelus australis. RNAcentral describes it as "lncRNA (ENSSCUG00000005584.1)". Lineage: Eukaryota; Metazoa; Chordata; Aves; Struthioniformes; Struthionidae. The record is from RNAcentral.
GGCCGGCCAGCGGCAACCUGCUGCAGUCGCCUGAGCCCACCUAUGGGCCUCCCAGGUCCCGGCAGCCCUCCCUCGCCAAGGAGGCCUCUGUCGCCGGGCUCAAGCCCACCAUCACGAAGCAGGCCUCGCAGACCCCGUCGACGCUGAACCCGGUGCUGCCGGCGGCGGAGCGCACGGUGGCCUGGGUGUCCAACAUGCCCCACCUGUCGGCCGACAUCGAGAGCUCCCACAUCGAGCGCGAGGAGUACAAGCUCAAGGAGUACUCCAAGUCCAUGGAUGAGAGCCGGCUGGACCGGGUAAGGGCCUGCCCGCCCGCUGGGACCCAGGCGUCCGGGCAACCCAGAGGUCCACACCCAGAGGGAAUCAGGCAUCUGGGGACAAGGGGCCCCAGGUGUCUGGCCUCCAGGGGAAACCAGGUGUCCAGGGUCUAAGGGACCCAGGCGUCCAGGGCUGCCACAACCCAGUUGCCUGGGCAUCAAGGGGAAUCCAGGUGUUUGGGGCUCAAGGGACCCAGGCGUCCGGGCCUGUGACACCCCAAUCAUGUGGACCUGUGAGGGACCCGGGUGUCCGGGUGGGGUAAGUUUGGUCCUUACUCCCCUCGCACUGAGGACACAGAUGUGGAGAUGGGUGGUGAGGGGACCCAGGCGUCCGAGGUCCAGGGGAGCCAGGUGUCCAGGAGAGGGGAGCCAGGUGUCCAGUGUCCAAGGGACCUAGGUGUCUGGUGUCCAAGGGACCCAGGUGUCCGGGGCUCAGGAGACCCAGGCGUCCAGUGUCCAAGGGACCUAGGUGUCCGGUGUCCAAGGGACCCAGGUGUCCAGUGUCCAAGGGACCUAAGUGUCCAAGGGACCCAGAUGUCUGGGGCUAAGGUGACCCAGGUGUCCGGUGUCCAGGGGACCUAGGCGUCCGACGUCCAAGGGACCCAGAUGUCCGGAGCUAAGGGGACCCAGGUGUCCAGGACAGGAGACCCAGGUGUCCAAGAUGCAGUGGACCCUGGCAUCUGGGGCUCAUGACACCCCAGUCACACAGACCCACGAGGGACCCAGGCGUCCAGUUG